RNAcentral lists this unclassified non-coding RNA (427 nucleotides) under Hevea brasiliensis (rubber tree). Lineage: Eukaryota; Viridiplantae; Streptophyta; Magnoliopsida; Malpighiales; Euphorbiaceae. The record is from RNAcentral.
AAACAUGUAACAAGUAGGGGAAAAAAGAAAAAAAACUAGGAAUUUCCAUGGAUAGUGAAUGGCUCUAGUAUUUCAGGUGUAGCAUUAAAGGUACAGAAGAUUGUCAUAUGAUAAAGGUCACAUAAAGAAAAUGGGUGCCAUCACCUCAACAACUAAAUAUAUAUGAGAUCCAUUUGUAGGAUAUUUUCUCAAAAUACAUCUACCAUUUUUGUGAUGAAGGCAGCCAUGUUCCAUAAUUAACGCAAUCUCAGCAAUGGCAUAAUUAUAACAUGCAAGAAAAUUAUUGAAGCACUCAAUUUCCAUGGGAUGUUUGGGCUUGGCGCUAAUAAAAAUAUAUAUAUGACAGGCUAAAGCACUUCUGAUGCUACACGAUUUCCUACAGGCAUUAAAAGUAUCUUAAUCCCAGAAGUUAUGCUUGUACAAGAAU